CGGCGCACGGGUGAGUAACACGUAUCCAACCUGCCGUCUACUCUUGGACAGCCUUCUGAAAGGAAGAUUAAUACAAGAUGGCAUCAUGAGUCCGCAUGUUCACAUGAUUAAAGGUAUUCCGGUAGACGAUGGGGAUGCGUUCCAUUAGAUAGUAGGCGGGGUAACGGCCCACCUAGUCUUCGAUGGAUAGGGGUUCUGAGAGGAAGGUCCCCCACAUUGGAACUGAGACACGGUCCAAACUCCUACGGGAGGCAGCAGUGAGGAAUAUUGGUCAAUGGGCGCAGGCCUGAACCAGCCAAGUAGCGUGAAGGAUGACUGCCCUAUGGGUUGUAAACUUCUUUUAUAAAGGAAUAAAGUCGGGUAUGUAUACCCGUUUGCAUGUACUUUAUGAAUAAGGAUCGGCUAACUCCGUGCCAGCAGCCGCGGUAAUACGGAGGAUCCGAGCGUUAUCCGGAUUUAUUGGGUUUAAAGGGAGCGUAGAUGGAUGUUUAAGUCAGUUGUGAAAGUUUGCGGCUCAACCGUAAAAUUGCAGUUGAUACUGGAUAUCUUGAGUGCAGUUGAGGCAGGCGGAAUUCGUGGUGUAGCGGUGAAAUGCUUAGAUAUCACGAAGAACUCCGAUUGCGAAGGCAGCCUGC
This 635-nucleotide ribosomal RNA is filed under the name uncultured Bacteroidales bacterium. RNAcentral's name for it is "bacterial SSU rRNA". It matches the Rfam family "Bacterial small subunit ribosomal RNA", at positions 96 to 729 of the family's 1533-position model. The record is from RNAcentral. Lineage: Bacteria; Pseudomonadati; Bacteroidota; Bacteroidia; Bacteroidales.